GGGUGUGUGUGCUGCCUUCCUCCGGCUCUGCUGGCAGGACUGCCAACACCACACGCCCGGGCUCUACUCAGCAUCCCUCGGCCAGGGUUAGGCUCAUCUAGGGAUGAGAGCAGCAAAAAACCCUGCCAGCAUCUCUGACUGCUGGGUAACACAUGCAAAUAAGAAAAGCAAAUCGUUCUGUAAUCCUCUCUACCUCAGAAGGGAAAAAGAUUCAAGAUUAACCUUAAUUCGUGCUGUGGUUUAGUCCAGUAUGUAGAGACUGAUGAUUCCUCUCCCACUUUGACCUUAAAAAGUAAGAUUACCCAGGAUGGCUCUGUCAGCUGCCUCUGUCAUCACCUCACAUGCAGAUGCUGACGUGACAGAGCUCAGCAACUCCACAUCACACAGAGACAUCCGCCUGCUCUGAUCAAAGGCCCGGGAGAAUCAGCACAGACUGCCAUGGUACCCAGGGGACAUGGAAGUGAUGGAAGCACAUCAUCCUGAGGUUUCAGCCCACACUGUCUGUGCUUUAUUUUUCUCAGAAUGAAA
This is a non-coding RNA of Cyanistes caeruleus (blue tit), 528 nucleotides long. The record is from RefSeq and is a predicted model, not a curated record. NCBI's taxonomy places the organism in Eukaryota, Metazoa, Chordata, Aves, Passeriformes, Paridae.